GUGCCAGCAGCCGCGGUAAUACAGAGACUGCGAGCGUUAUUCGGAUUCACUGGGCGUAAAGGGUGCGCAGGCGGCCGUGUGUGUGAGGCGUGAAAGCCUGGAGCUUAACUCCAGAAUUGCACCUCAAACUACACGGCUAGAGCAUUGGAGAGGGUAGCAGAAUUCACGGUGUAGCAGUGAAAUGCGUAGAUAUCGUGAGGAAUACCAGAGGCGAAGGCGGCUACCUGGACAAUUGCUGACGCUCAGGCACGAAAGCGUGGGGAGCAAAAGGGAUUAGAAACCCUGGUAGUCC
Molecule: ribosomal RNA, 292 nt
Filed under: uncultured bacterium
Lineage: Bacteria
Description: partial 16S ribosomal RNA
Rfam family: Bacterial small subunit ribosomal RNA
Source: RNAcentral